GAUACAUUAAAAUACGCAACCAACCGUCAUUGAACCGUCCAAUCAGAUCAAAGGAGUAAUCGUCGUAGAUCGUGCGUUAUCGAUAAUGUUCGGUGCCUGGAGAAAAUUGACAAUUGACAAGAGAAUUGUUUAUUAUUUUUGACUUUUUAGUUCGUUUAAUUUAAUAAUUACUAAAACCAGUAGUUCGAAAGAUAUAUUUAAAAAUAAAAGAUAAAAAUCCAAAAAAUUAAUUAUCUAUUAACGUGGAUUUGGACGACAAUAGGUUUUUAGUUUGUGAUGUUUCAUGUGAUGAUCAUUUUCAUGUCCAUCGUAUUUGAAUUGACAUGAGGAUAUCUAUGGAAAAGUAACUAAUCUGAAAGUAAGCCAACAUAUCGUUCGUCCUUUGUGUGCUAAAGAAAAGAUUUUCUUUUCGUAUCAUGAGGAAGUAUUACAUCAAUUAAAAAAUGUUAGGAAGUUGAUUACUUGUCAUGGAAAAGUAUACCAAUGGAAAUUAUUUGUUAAAGAAGUAUAAUUCUAAGGGUUUUAAGAAUAAAUUGGUUGAACCCAAAAUCUGGAGGAAGUACCUAUAUCCAUACACAGAAUAUGCCCAUUAAAAAUACUAGUCCAAAUUUGCUUUAAUGGUAGACAAUUAUUCAAUACAAAUUAACUUUUUAAGUGACUGAAAUAUUAAAUAGUUUAGAAUAUGGUAUAACAAUGUAAAAAAAUAUUAUUUUCAGGAACGAUUAGGGCCCGAUAUAUUUGAAACUCAUGUUGGACAUAGUAUUGAGUUGGGUAGAAUAUUAUUCUACGUUAAGUGAGGGUAUCAGAUACCUAUUAUUGUACUGUAUUUUAAUAUAUACAUUAGAAUUGUUGGUUUUUU
RNAcentral lists this long non-coding RNA (859 nucleotides) under Sitophilus oryzae (rice weevil). RNAcentral's name for it is "uncharacterized LOC115874239". Lineage: Eukaryota; Metazoa; Arthropoda; Insecta; Coleoptera; Curculionidae. The record is from RNAcentral.